This 74-nucleotide transfer RNA is filed under the name Pseudomonas fragi. RNAcentral describes it as "tRNA-Val". It matches the Rfam family "tRNA". Rfam says of the family: Transfer RNA (tRNA) molecules are approximately 80 nucleotides in length. Their secondary structure includes four short double-helical elements and three loops (D, anti-codon, and T loops). Lineage: Bacteria; Pseudomonadati; Pseudomonadota; Gammaproteobacteria; Pseudomonadales; Pseudomonadaceae. RNAcentral also lists the same sequence under 3 other names. The record is from RNAcentral.
GUGAUUAGCUCAGCUGGGAGAGCAUCUGCCUUACAAGCAGAGGGUCGGCGGUUCGAUCCCGUCAUCACCCACCA